Molecule: microRNA, 22 nt
Filed under: Glycine max (soybean)
Lineage: Eukaryota; Viridiplantae; Streptophyta; Magnoliopsida; Fabales; Fabaceae
Description: gma-miR5676
Source: miRBase by way of RNAcentral
UCGACACCAUAUGUAGAGGCAG